Molecule: unclassified non-coding RNA, 566 nt
Filed under: Athalia rosae (coleseed sawfly)
Lineage: Eukaryota; Metazoa; Arthropoda; Insecta; Hymenoptera; Athaliidae
Description: misc RNA ENSAEAG00005003590.1
Source: RNAcentral
GCAGGCAGAUCAAGUUUGUGGGAUAGACGCGGUGCAACUAUGGAAAAUUUAUUUGUAUAGCGGCGCGUAUUGCGAUGGAGGUGUGAGUUCUGUUACGUCAUGAGAACAGGAUAGAUGAAAAAGCGAGAAUACAGGAUGCGUUAAUUAGACAGUUCGGUUUAAAUCACGUAACUAGCGGGUCUUUCUUGUUGUAGAUAUAAGUUGGCGGGCAAGAUUUCAAUCAUAAACGAAAUAAAGAAUUCAGGCUUGAAAUUGGACUCGAUAAAUGAAUAUCUUUCGACAAUCGACCAACCGUAUAACCGGAUCAGAUAAUUGAUACAGUUGUUCCGAAGGCAGGAAAAAGCCUCGUUAGAUCAUCGCGAAGGCCUGCGGAGGAAAGCGCAUGGAAUAAAACUAAUAAUUUAAUAAAGGUGUACCAGAGGAAGAACUUGAUGACCAGGUCGUCCAGGUUCUCCACGGUCUCCCUGUCUCCCCGGUGAACCAAUUCCGUCAUUGCCGGGUGCGCCUGGGUUGCGAAAAAAUUUUAAUCAGGGGGAUCGUCAAUCCCGAACAAGAAUGAACGAUGA